GAAUAAGAGGGCAGGUCAUGAAAUAUUGCCGCCCGACUUCCAUUUCUAACACUGUGCACUUGAUGGCGAGUCUUGAUGGAAUUAACGAGUUUUCGAACUUUGAAAUGAAACCUUGACUUGCGGCUUCAUUUUAAACAUUAGUCAAAGUAUGUAAAGAAAUAUUAAACAAAAAAAAACUUUCAACAACGGAUCUCUUGGCUCU
This 202-nucleotide unclassified non-coding RNA is filed under the name rhizosphere metagenome. RNAcentral describes it as "partial ribosomal RNA internal transcribed spacer region". The record is from RNAcentral.